GACGAACGCUGGCGGCGUGCUUAACACAUGCAAGUCGAACGGAGAGGCCCUGCCUUUGUGGGGUGCUCGAGUUGCGAACGGGUGAGUAACACGUGAGUAACCUGCCCUUGACUUUGGGAUAACUUCUGGAAACUGGGGCUAAUACCGGAUAGGAGCUCCUGCUGCAUGGUGGUGGCUGGAAAGUUUCGGUGGUUGGGGAUGGACUUGCGGCUUAUGAGCUUGUUGGUCGGGUAGUGGCUUACCACGGCCUUGACGGGUAGCCGGCCUGAGAGUGUGACCGGCCACAUUGGGACUGAGGUACGGCCCAGACUGAUACGGGAGGCAUCAGUGGGAAAUAGUGCACGAUGGGCGGAAGCCGGAUACAGCAACGCCGCGUGCGAGAUGACGGUCUUCGGGUUGGAAACCGCUUUCGCCUGUAACGAAGCGUGAGUGACGGUAAUGGAUAAAGAAGCACCGGCUAACUACGUG
Molecule: ribosomal RNA, 468 nt
Filed under: uncultured bacterium
Lineage: Bacteria
Description: partial 16S ribosomal RNA
Rfam family: Bacterial small subunit ribosomal RNA
Source: RNAcentral